Molecule: ribosomal RNA, 105 nt
Filed under: Doboatherina bleekeri
Lineage: Eukaryota; Metazoa; Chordata; Actinopteri; Atheriniformes; Atherinidae
Description: partial 16S rRNA
Source: RNAcentral
AGCCUAAUAGCUAGCCCGCCUCAACAAAUUCAACACUCAAUUAUUUAUAAACCCAAAAACACUUAAUUGUACAAAUAAAUCAUUCUUCCCCCUUAGUACAGGAGA